RNAcentral lists this ribosomal RNA (497 nucleotides) under uncultured bacterium. RNAcentral's name for it is "partial 16S ribosomal RNA". It matches the Rfam family "Bacterial small subunit ribosomal RNA", at positions 28 to 507 of the family's 1533-position model. The record is from RNAcentral.
GAUGAACGCUGGCGGCGUGCCUAAUACAUGCAAGUCGAGCGAACAGACGAGGAGCUUGCUCCUCUGACGUUAGCGGCGGACGGGUGAGUAACACGUGGAUAACCUACCUAUAAGACUGGGAUAACUUCGGGAAACCGGAGCUAAUACCGGAUAAUAUAUUGAACCGCAUGGUUCAAUAGUGAAAGACGGUUUUGCUGUCACUUAUAGAUGGAUCCGCGCCGCAUUAGCUAGUUGGUAAGGUAACGGCUUACCAAGGCAACGAGGCGUAGCCGACCUGAGAGGGUGAUCGGCCACACUGGAACGGAGACACGGUCCAGACUCCUACGGGAGGCAGCAGUAGGGAAUCUUCCGCAAUGGGCGAAAGCCUGACGGAGCAACGCCGCGUGAGUGAUGAAGGUCUUCGGAUCGUAAAACUCUGUUAUUAGGGAAGAACAAAUGUGUAAGUAACUAUGCACGUCUUGACGGUACCGAAUCAGAAAGCCACGGCUAACUACGUG